CCCUAUCUUGUUUAGUUUAUCGGGAAAGAGAUAAAUUGUUUAUUAGAAGUUUUACAUAGGUUCAAUUUAGUAAUUUAUUCAAUUUAAAAAAAUCUCCUAAAUAGGGAGCUGCUAAAGGGAUCUGAUACCCCCGUACCCCCUACUUCUUUUACACCCUAGGUAGUUAUUAAGCUUCUUUUUGAAACCUAAUGAAUAUGGCGGUUUCAGUUUAUAACCAGAGAGGCUUGGGUUUUUAAUUCGUUGAUCCCCGUUAAAUCUCUCCUAAAUUUAUGCUUGUAUACCGUCGUCUAAACCAUCCCAAAGUAGGUGCUUUGAAAAGGAAUUUCAACCAUGUCAGACCUGGGCACAGCAAUGUUUAGGAACAGCUCGAGCCUCAAUAGAUAUUUUAUGGAAAAUAAAUUUAAAAAUUUAUUAAAAAGAGAAUUUGGUUUCAAUCACUUUUUACUAAGGGGUGAUAAAAUUUAAUCCUGAAAUGUACAGAUCGCCCGUCAAUCCCCUAUU
Molecule: ribosomal RNA, 501 nt
Filed under: Macrostylis roaldi
Lineage: Eukaryota; Metazoa; Arthropoda; Malacostraca; Isopoda; Macrostylidae
Description: partial 12S ribosomal RNA
Source: RNAcentral